UAGAAGUUUCGCCUUUGAAGUUUUAAGGUUCAGACCCAAAAAUCUCUAUCCAUCAUCUUCUUCUCCUUCGUUCUAUCCUCAUCGCUAGUGGAAGUGGAGGCUCAUCACUGCUCUGAUAUGUUCAGGUCGCUGGAGUUGGUGUACUGAUCGCAAGCUUGAUCUGGCGCUGAAUCUGUUAUUCUCCUCUUGAGUGAUACUCUGUCUUCCUUCUUUCUGGUUCAAGCGUAAAUCUCGUCUUCUCUUCCUAUUUGGUCGACAGCUUCUUGAUCUUCCCCCCCUGCUGUUAUUGGUAAUUAAGACGCACGCAUAAGAAUGAGAAAUUUUGAGAUCCUUCGACUCAAGCUUCGUCGAUGCCAGCUCCCUUUGUUCCUCUUCGAUUUUUUCGAUGAGUUCUUGUUGUUUUGCCUCCAGCCAAGUCUUCCCCAUUUUUCCUCUUCUUUUCUUCUCUUUUUCAGUGGUGCACACGUGUUCUGGACCAGAGGAAGAGAGUUGGAGAUUUUUCUUGGUUCCAGUAGCUUCGAGCCUUUGAUCCAACCAUCUCUGUCCUCAACCCUUGUCCCUGUUGCUCCUCUAGUCGCCGGCAACCUUGAGAACGCCAGAAUCCUCACUGUGGGUAGUUCACAGUGCUUCGUCUAGCUCUCCCCUCUUUUGUAUCAUUUUUCCUUCUUCAGCAUCUGUGUAAAUAUGUGAUGUUUGGAAGGAGGGAAGCUCAAAUAGAGUCAUAAGAAAUGAUUUUGGGAGCUUUGAGGAUGUUACAGAUCAGUGGAUAACGUUCCAAUCAAUUUAUAUAUAUUUGAAAAUUUUCUUGUAUCAACUAUUAUUUUCAAUAAUUUACAAUCAUUAA
Molecule: long non-coding RNA, 844 nt
Organism: Prosopis cineraria
Lineage: Eukaryota; Viridiplantae; Streptophyta; Magnoliopsida; Fabales; Fabaceae
Exons: 3
Source: RefSeq, a predicted model, not a curated record